CACAGCCAGUUUCUACAAAUAACGAUCACUGAAGCACAACUCAAUUCUGUUCACCUGAAAACAACAAGAUGCCAUUUGUGAGAAGGUGCCAAAUCGACAUUCAUUCUAGGCAGCAUCAAGGGCAGAAGCAGCCAGACAGAAACCAACAGAUACCAAGCGUUUCAGAAGUGUUUACUUUGUGCCAGGCCUGUGUGAAGUGCUCCAGAUGGACAUACAGGCCGCCAAGCUAGUUCCUUCCCUUUUGUUAUAGUUAUUUAGUCACAUCAGACUCUUCAUGACCCAUUUACGGUUUUCUUGACCCAACACUCUAUCCAAUGUGCUACCUAGCUGCCCCCAGUCCAACCUGUGCCUGAAUUAAAAUCUCCUCUACAGCUCACUCAAUAACUCAUUAUCUAGACUGGGCUCUAAAGACUCAAAAGAGGAGGCACCCACUAUCUGCUAAGGCAAUACUUUGACAUUUCCUUUUUCAGCUCAUUUUACAGAUGAGAAAACUGAGGCAAACAGGGCUAAGUGAGCUGCCCAGGGCCACACAGCUAGGAAGUGCCUGAGGCCAGAUUUGAACUCAUGAAAAUCAGCCUUCCUGACUCCAGGCCAGCUCUCUAUCCACUUUGCCACCUAGCUGCCCUUCAAGGGGCUUACUAUAUCCAAAUCACUUCUUCUGACCACCAUCUGACCACUUGCCCUGUGUGAGCUCUCCAUAAAACAGUCUUUUCAGCAAGCAUACAUGUUACAUUCGGAAGAAGCUAUACAAGGACACUCUCAAGGUCUCUCUUAAGAAGUUCGGAAUUGAUUGUGCUACAUGUAAAUGCUGGCGCAGGACUGCUCAGCAUGGCAUGCCCACAUCAGAGAAGGAGUAUUGAAUUGAAGUGGCUCAAAAGAAACAUGAGAUGCACAGAUUUAGAGAAUCCGCCCCAAAGGUUCACAUGGAAUAUUUUUGCCUCCCCUGUGGUAGAACAUUCUGAGCUCAGAUUGGUCUGAUCAGCCACGAUUGGAUGCAUCGUAACUGGAGUCUAGCAUAGUGAUGUCAUUUUGGUCCUCUUCAAGAAGGAAGGACAACAAGCAACCACAUCCAAGUAGGGGAAGAUAAAACACAAAGGAGACUCCUUAGGAUCCAACCUCCUUCCACAGAAUCUCUGAGCUGGAAGGGUCCUCACAUGCCAGCUGCUCCAACCUGUCGUUAUUGUUGUUCAGUCAUUUUUCAGUCACAUCCAACUCUUCGUGACCCCAUUUGUUUUUUCGUUUGUUUGCUUGGUUUUGUUUGUUUUUUUGGCAAAGAUACUGGAGUGGCUUGCCAUUUCCUUUUCCAGCCCAGAUGAGGAAACCGAGGCAAACAGGAUGAAGUGACUUACCCAGGGUCGUACGUUAGUAAAUGUCUGGUCUUCCCGACUCCAGGCCCAAUGCUCUAUCCACUGCACCACCUAGCUGCCCCCAGUUCAACCUGUACCUGAAUUAAAAUCCACUCUACAACUAAUGCAACAACUCAUUGUCCAGACUAUGCUCUAAGGAUUCAAAAAAGGAGGAACUCCUAUCUGCUAAGCUAGUAUACUUCACUUUUGGACAGCUUUGUUAGAAAGUAUUUCUAGGUAUUAAAUCUAAAUCUCUCUCUCCAAUUCUUACCCAUCACUUUCAAUUCCACUCAGUGGGGACAAACAGAACACAUCUCAUGACCCAUUUCCUCAUGAUAGCCUUUAUAGUGUGGAAAUCCAGAUUCAAAUAACAUCCCAGAUUAAGUAGGGACCCUGGCGUUGAAACUCCUAGUAUCCUUUCAUCUCAUCACAACUUAGCCUGAGAGUAUACUCCUCUCAUUCUCUCAUGAGCAAAGUCAUGCACUUUUCUCCCAUUUGCAUGUUUCCCAUCCUACAUUGGCUGGUAGAAAAUAGAAUGAUGCCAUUCUAAAUAUUCUCACCAUAAUUAUCUUGUCAUUCAUAUCACACUUGACAGUUUGCAACAUGUUUUAUGGAAUCUGGAAUCUAGAAUCUCAUUUGAUCCUUACCACUGCUUAUGUGAGGUAUAUAUAACAGGAGAGAUUAAGUGAUUUCCUUCUAUUUACAGAUAGAGGAUCUUUUAACUUGCCAAACGUCAAAUGCCUAGUAUGUGAUAGGGCUAGAACUUGAACCCAAUUCUUCUGCCCCCAUAACCAGAGCUGUCUCCUAUAUCACAGCAGCCUUGAUUGAAUUUGUCAACAAAGAGGUAAAUGCUUGGCAAAGGUAUGUUUACUACUGUCAUCAAAGAUUUCCUAGCAUGUCAAAACAGAAGAAUAUCCUCCUCAUUACAUGAAGACUGAAAUGAGUCUGUUUGUGACAUGAGAUGUAUUCAUUCUCAUGGCUAUGGUGGGAAGGAAGGACACUGGACAAUGCAAACUUUCUUCAGAGGAAGCUAUACUUAUACAGAAGUUUGGUUGACAAUCCGUACUGGAAAACGAAAUGGAUAAAAACACAUGCCACCCAGAUUGUGACAUGCAGCUAGACAGGCAGUCAGUGAAUUAGUCUAUUAACAUGUGUAUCUUGGGGAGGAAAAAAAUUGUCAGUAGAUAAAGAGCUAGCCCGGAAAGAUCAGAUUCGACCAAAAUUGAGAAACUGUCCAGGGUUUUGAAUGACCCUAAACUAUUUCCUACUGCAAAAGCCUGUGUUUUAUUGAUAUUAUUAUAAAUUUAAUAACUGUAAACAAAAAUAUAAAUAUCUAGAGAAGAGUUUUAUAUUGUAUAUGAAACUUUGAAAUUCUCACAUAAAUAGUUUUAAUGGUACAUAUUAACUUAGAACAAGAUAGUAACAAAAUUAUCUUUUUUGUCUCUGUGCCGACUUUGGAACACUUUUUUUUCUUUUCCUUUCUGCUGUUUUUAUUGUAAUUAUUUACAUAGUUUUCAUCAUUAUAUAAAUUCAUAAGUUUAAGACUAGAAGGGACCUCAGAAGUAAUACCUAGGUCCGCAAACCUCACCUUACAGAUGAGGACUCUAAAGUCUAUAAGGUUAAGUGAUAUCAUGUAGCCAGAAUGAGAAAUUACAGACAGAAAGCCUCAUGGUACAGCAGUACUUUCAAGAUACCAAAAAAAACAGGUGUGUGUGGCAUCUUCAUCUUCACCAAUCAAGUUCGUGACUUAGAGUCAAGAUGAUCUAGGUGUGAUUCUUGCCACACAUACUGUGUGCCCCUAAACAAAUCACUCUCUCAGUCUCAGUAUGUUCAUCUGUAGAAUGGGGAUAAUAAUACAAAACAUAUAGUAUCUACCUUAAAUGGUUGUUUUGAGGUUCAAAUGAGAUGAUCAAUGUAAAGUGGUUUCUUAACCUUAAAACACGAUAUAGAUGAUUUUUUUUGUUCUCUUACUAUUUUUAAAAUUUUUGUCUUUUUUAAAAACACAUAGUAUUUUUUCUUUUACCCAAUUAUGUAUUAAGAAAAGUUUUUAGCAUUCAUUUUUACAAGAUUUUGAGUUCCAAAUUUUUCUCCUUCCUCCCCUCCCUCCUGAAAAUGGUAGGCAGUUUGAUAUAGUUUAUACAUUUGUCACAGUUGUGGAAGAAGAAACAGAUCAAGGGGCAGAUAGGUGGCACAGUGGAUAGAACUCAGGAGGACCUGAGUUCAAAUCCAGCCUAAGACACUUGACACACUAGUUGUGUGACCCUGGGCAAGUCACUUAACCCUAACUGCCCCACCAAAAAAAAAGAAAAAGAAAUAGAUCAAAAGGAAAUAAAACCAUGAGAAAGAAUAAAGUAAGUGAAAAU
Molecule: long non-coding RNA, 3709 nt
Organism: Phascolarctos cinereus (koala)
Lineage: Eukaryota; Metazoa; Chordata; Mammalia; Diprotodontia; Phascolarctidae
Source: Ensembl